This 272-nucleotide long non-coding RNA is filed under the name Lathyrus oleraceus (garden pea). RNAcentral describes it as "Pisum sativum (pea) long non-coding RNA (PSAT_LNC024483)". The record is from RNAcentral. Lineage: Eukaryota; Viridiplantae; Streptophyta; Magnoliopsida; Fabales; Fabaceae.
AAAGUCAUGGUGUUGUUCAUGUGAUUGUUAAUGCACAUAUGGUCUUGGUCAUCCAAACAACCAACCUUCUUGUGUCACAAGCCAAUUGCCAAUCAUGCCACUUGAUUCAUGAAUAUCCCUUUCAAAUCCUAAUCUUAUACCAUCAUUUCAUGGCCUUGUUAACACAUACUACCAGUCAAGUCAUGUUCUUUUCAAAGUCAAGCAUUCAAGUCAUAAAAUAAACCAAUUGUAAAACAAAUUUCAAACCAUUUCAAUUCAUUUCACAUCAUUUC